AGCGAACGCUGGCGGAAUGCUUAACACAUGCAAGUCGCACGGGCAGCAAUGUCAGUGGCGGACGGGUGAGUAACGCGUAGGAAUGUGUCCAGGGAUGGGGGAUAACGCUGGGAAACUGGCGCUAAUACCGCAUAUGGCCUGAGGGUCAAAGCCGCGAGGCGUCUUUGGAGCAGCCUGCGUCCGAUUAGGUAGUUGGUGGGGUAAAGGCCUACCAAGCCUGCGAUCGGUAGCUGGUCUGAGAGGAUGAUCAGCCACACUGGGACUGAGACACGGCCCAGACUCCUACGGGAGGCAGCAGUGGGGAAUAUUGGACAAUGGGCGGAAGCCUGAUCCAGCAAUUCCGCGUGGGUGAAGAAGGUCUUCGGAUUGUAAAGCCCUUUCGGCAGGGACGAUGAUGACGGUACCUGCAGAAGAAGCCCCGGCUAACUUCGUGCCAGCAGCCGCCGCCG
This 449-nucleotide ribosomal RNA is filed under the name uncultured bacterium. RNAcentral's name for it is "partial 16S ribosomal RNA". It matches the Rfam family "Bacterial small subunit ribosomal RNA", at positions 29 to 523 of the family's 1533-position model. The record is from RNAcentral.